Molecule: ribosomal RNA, 446 nt
Filed under: uncultured bacterium
Lineage: Bacteria
Description: partial 16S ribosomal RNA
Rfam family: Bacterial small subunit ribosomal RNA
Source: RNAcentral
CCUACGGGGGGCAGCAGUCGAGAAUCAUUCACAAUGGGGGAAACCCUGAUGGUGCGACGCCGCGUGGGGGAAUGAAGGUCUUCGGAUUGUAAACCCCUGUCAUGUGGGAGCAAAUUAAAAAGAUAGUACCACAAGAGGAAGAGACGGCUAACUCUGUGCCAGCAGCCGCGGUAAUACAGAGGUCUCAAGCGUUGUUCGGAAUCACUGGGCGUAAAGCGUGCGUAGGCUGUUUCGUAAGUCGUGUGUGAAGGGAGCGGGCUCAACCCGCGGACGGCACAUGAUACUGCGAGACUAGAGUAAUGGAGGGGGAACCGGAAUUCUCGGUGUAGCAGUGAAAUGCGUAGAUAGCGAGAGGAACACUCGUGGCGAAGGCGGGUUCCUGGACAUUAACUGACGCUGAGGCACGAAGGCCAGGGGAGCGAAAGGGAUUAGAUACCCGGGUAGUC